UACGGAGGGUGCGAGCGUUAAUCGGAAUGACUGGGCGUAAAGGGCUCGCAGGUGGCGAGAUGAGUUGGAUGUGAAAUUCCCGUGCUUAACAUGGGGACUGCAUCCAAAACUGUUGAACUGGAGUACUGUAGAGGGAGGUAGAAUUCCACGUGUAGCGGUGAAAUGCGUAGAGAUGUGGAAGAAUACCAGAGGCGAAGGCGGCCUCCUGGACAGAUACUGACACUGAGGUGCGAAAGCGUGGGUAGCAAACAGG
RNAcentral lists this ribosomal RNA (253 nucleotides) under uncultured bacterium. RNAcentral describes it as "partial 16S ribosomal RNA". It matches the Rfam family "Bacterial small subunit ribosomal RNA", at positions 524 to 776 of the family's 1533-position model. The record is from RNAcentral.